CAGCAGCCGCGGGAAUACGUAGGGUGCAAGCGUUAAUCGGAAUUACUGGGCGUAAAGCGUGCGCAGGCGGUUAUAUAAGACAGAUGUGAAAUCCCCGGGCUCAACCUGGGAACUGCAUUUGUGACUGUAUAGCUAGAGUACGGCAGAGGGGGAUGGAAUUCCGCGUGUAGCAGUGAAAUGCGUAGAUAUGCGGAGGAACACCGAUGGCGAAGGCAAUCCCCUGGGCCUGUACUGACGCUCAUGCACGAAAGCGUGGGGAGCAAACAGGAUUAGAUACCCGAGUAGUCCCUGUCUCUUAUAA
This 301-nucleotide ribosomal RNA is filed under the name uncultured bacterium. RNAcentral describes it as "partial 16S ribosomal RNA". It matches the Rfam family "Bacterial small subunit ribosomal RNA", at positions 509 to 809 of the family's 1533-position model. The record is from RNAcentral.